ACUUUAAUAGCUUAUUAAGAGCAUAAUAUUGAAGAUAUUAAGGAGAAUUAAUUCUUAAAGUA
RNAcentral lists this transfer RNA (62 nucleotides) under Emeia pseudosauteri. RNAcentral describes it as "tRNA-Phe". Lineage: Eukaryota; Metazoa; Arthropoda; Insecta; Coleoptera; Lampyridae. The record is from RNAcentral.